This 328-nucleotide unclassified non-coding RNA is filed under the name soil metagenome. RNAcentral's name for it is "partial contains 5.8S ribosomal RNA, internal transcribed spacer 2, and large subunit ribosomal RNA". The stretch from base 1 to 120 matches the Rfam family "5.8S ribosomal RNA", at positions 35 to 154 of the family's 154-position model. The record is from RNAcentral.
GAUGAAGAACGCAGCGAAAUGCGAUAAGUAAUGUGAAUUGCAGAAUUCAGUGAAUCAUCGAAUCUUUGAACGCACAUUGCACCCCUUGGUAUUCCGAGGGGCAUGCCUGUUCGAGCGUCAUUAUAACCCUCAAGCUCAGCUUGGUGUUGGGGCCUGCUGCACUGGCAGCCCUUAAAAUCAGUGGCGGCGCCAUCUGGCUCUAAGCGUAGUAAUUCUUCUCGCUAUGGAGUCCUGGUGGAUGCUUGCCAUCAACCCCCAAUUUUUCUAUGGUUGACCUCGGAUCAGGUAGGGAUACCCGCUGAACUUAAGCAUAUCAAUAAGCGGAGGA